UUAUGAACACAUGAUGAUCUCAAUUAUACAACAAUUUUCUCUAUUGCAACUUCACGAGGCAACCCAUUUAGUGGCUUGUUGGUUGGGAGAUCGUCAUAUGCAUCCAAGGAAGACCUUCAAGAAUGUUUUGAUGCAGGAAAAGAUAUAAGUUACACAUAGAAAAGAAUCUCUGUUGCUUUGAAAUGAAGAACAUAGGAGUAGCAGCUCGCUCACACAUGAUUUGGUGGUUGAUGCACGGUGAGCAAAAUCUUGGAUUGCCUAAUGACCACCUUCCAAAGCAUGUACUCCCUUCGUUCCUAGAUAUAAGUCUUUUUAGAGAUUCCGAUACGGACUACAAACGGAUAUAUAUAGACAUACUUUAGAAGGUAGGUUCAUUCAUUUUUCUUCGUAUGUAGUCCGUAGUGAAAUCUCUAGAAAGACUUGUAUUUAGAAACAGAGGGAGUACUUUGAAAGCAAGCAUACAAUGAAAUAACAUGACCUAGCAAUGGCGCUUACAGUGUCGUGGAGCUAGGGUUGUCCGCCCGUUCAAAUUUAACAAAUAAUUAUUUGUGCAAUACAAGUAUGAAGUGGUAACUUUUUUAUGGGGACGUAUGAACCGGUAUCAAAACUUCAGCUUACAUGUGUGUUUUCAUGUAUUCAUUAUGCAUGAAAAGCCACACUAUGAGCUCAACAUAGAAUUAAAUGGAAUGUAACAAAAGGAAAAAAAAAGUAAAUGCGAACUGACCAUCAAUUCAAAUCAAAUUCUAUAGCUGAGAAUGGACAUGGUAAAGACCCUCUGUAUUCUUCUGUUAAAAAUUGUAUAUGGGGUGCAUUUUAUCAAGACCGUUAAAUCAAAUCAAAUUCUAGACGGAGAAUUUCCUUUGUCUUCGAAAACAUGUAUUCUAAGUUGAAACCGGGACCAAGACUAUUCCAGAAUACAAAGGACCAUUGGUCAGCAUGUACAGUUAAGAGGUAGAAAAUACAUCAGGAUACUCUCAGUUAAUUGGUGGAGUGGCAUGAAUGGGGAGUAGCAACUUCCCGUGAGGAAAGGAACAACAAAUAGAGCGGGAUGAAUCCACUGGAGGGAUGCCGGCUCGGUAUACAAUCUUAGCUACGUUAUGAAGGAAAGGAAAGAAAACACUCUAAGUAUAUCAGACAACAAAUAGGCAAAAUUACUGUAUUGAAGGAGAGAAGUUGGAAAAAAAACUAUGAGCAUGGUUGUGAGAGACAUACCUGGAGAUAAGUUAUUUAUUGUAGAGAAGCUUGCCGCCUUUCGUCAUCUCGUCGAAGAGCCCAUUGAUGGCUCCGUACUUCCUUGCUUCCUCACAAGCUCAAUCCGCAGAGGCCAUGUCUUGUCCUGAGAUUUCCGAUGCCGGGACAAAACAAAAAUCCAAGCACUUAUUAUGAAUAUCAAAAUAAUGAGCGGUGUAGGCAUAUAUAAGCACUAUAUUCAUAUCAAAAAUCUAAGCACUUAUUAUGUUGCUAUUUGUGACGCCUUUCUUAUUUUAGCAAGAAAAUAAUGGUCCCCUCAGAUUAGUAAGUUGUAACUUUCGCAACCAUUAAAAACAUAGAUAAUUAAAGAUAUCAACUAAUUUGCUGUUAACAUGAAAUAAACAAUGCUCCAAAUCAAUGUGUACCUGUCUUAUACCUUGUCAACAAAUUGAACUCGUUGACAUGUCCCCAUUUUUAUCUCCGUUGCUGCAGCUGUUUGGUCCAAUAUCUCCAUGUAUCGCACUUACUAAUCAAAAGAGAAAGUUUGUCCAUCUUCAUAGUUCAUACCGAGUAUCAAUCAAAAGAGAAAGCAUGCACUGGAGGACUCAACGUCGUUGUUCUUGAGGGCACAUAUAUCUGCAUAGCCAAAUUUCUAGCUAGUUAUCUAAGAUAGUAAAGUGACACUUGUACAAGGUAACAAAAAUCAAGCAGACAAGGAGACUCAAAAGAAAGCUCUGGCCAACCAGUGGUCCGUACAUUUUGUGGUCUCAUGCCGGUUAGUAUUUUACUGUUUAGAUGGUUGAUGCUCUUGUCAUCCUGUUUUGGAAUAGCUUUGUGUUAAGAUUUCUUCUAUUCAUAGUUUGGUACGUAGUUGCUUACCCAACUUCUUAUAGAAAAACGAAGCUAUUAUUUCAACCAUAUAACUAAGGGGAACACACCUACGAAAUUCAUUGAUAACAGGAACAACAAAUAUUUUAAAAAAUGUCAUCAAAGAAAUAAAAAAGUGUAGCCAGGUAAUUCAAGCAUGGUAAAAAUACAAAUGCUUUAUUAAUGUAAUAUUUUCUAAUAAAUUCACAAAGGCAUCAUGAUUCUAAACAACAAUAUAUCUCCCGUUUCUGCUUUCAUUGAUCAUUGCCAAGUGACAGCAACACAAGCGUUGAAGCGACUUUCAGCCUCCAAUCAAACAUGAACAUGGGUUGAGAUUCUUUCUGAAUCAAUAUGAUUGUUCAUAUCAGUACAAAAUAAUCUUGCAUUCAGUAGAAGCGUGUAUGUUAAUGGUAAAAAGAACCACAAAGAUUAAUUAGCGGAUAUGGAUGAAUAAAGUACCUGGAGCCGAGGUUGACCGCGACAUGGUGUGGGAAGAGCAUGAAUCUAGUGAAUCAUCCAUCAACUUGCAUUCAGACAUGACCGAAGCUAAAUGUAAUGAACCAGGAACGCUAAAUUUGACUAAUCUUGUUCGUACAAAUCCACAAAAAGAAGCACUACAAAAUAGAAGAAAUGAAAAUAUCAAGGGUGGAUAAAAUGGUAGGAUCACAUCAUAGAAAGGAAAAUCCAAGAAUAGACAUCACUCAAAAUCCCUGACUUGCAAGACUUAAAAGAUAUGGAUGAAUCUUCCAGAAUGUUAUGAAUUGAUGUUUUCUACCUAGGAAAGAAACUUGCAAUGGGGACGAAAGCACAAGACAACGAGAGUAAAAAAACUUCUUGUGACGGCGGGAUGCUUAAUUCUGUAUAGAUAUUGGACUUAAAGAUCGAAGAAUCAUAUUGGAAGAUUUAACCUCACACGCCUGACGCCACUGGCCAUGUAUGCCUCGGUCACUCUCUGUGCUCUCCCGACAUGAGGAGGCAAUGGCUGUCUCACUCUGAGCAUAUUGCCUUCAUACGAUUCUCAUAUAUUUUGAGAUUUCUCACUGCUAAUUAACCUAUUUCGUAAUGCUUCCCAUUGUUCCCGAUAAAUAUUUAUAGCAUAUUAAAGCAUGCAAUAUCUACACACAUAUCUUUUGAACAGAAUCAAACUGCAUUGGUACUACGGUAGGAUGAAGCUAUCAACAUCGAGAAUGGAUAAGUAAUUUCAAGAACGUGUCUAUAGAAUAAACAAAACAAGGAAAGAAGAUCACGUGAAUGAAGAGAUAAUUAUUGUUCUCUCGUGAUUCCUCUCGAAGCAAUGGCGGUAGCAAGCACGAGCAGAACAAAACAUUCUGAAGUGCAAAUUAUACCUGUCCCUUCUUCGAACAAUAGCAACAACAGCUAGGAAAGCAUUACUGAGCCUUGCUCUCUCCCUCCUCUCCGAUUUCUGUAACUGCCACCGCCGCCAGCACCUCAUCCAGCAAUGAUCUGAAUCCCUUUUCUCUCCUCACGUCCUCAUCCC
This 3556-nucleotide long non-coding RNA is filed under the name Hordeum vulgare. RNAcentral's name for it is "long non-coding RNA (HVUL_LNC017152)". Lineage: Eukaryota; Viridiplantae; Streptophyta; Magnoliopsida; Poales; Poaceae. The record is from RNAcentral.